AAGAUGUACCGGGGCUAAGCAUAUUACCGAAGCUGCGAAUCUUGUUUACAAGAUGGUAGGGGAGCGUUCCAACAGGGCUGAAGGUCGAUCGUGAGGACGGCUGGACUGGUUGGAAGUGAGAAUGCCGGUAUGAGUAGCGCAAGAUGGGUGAGAAUCCCAUCCACCGUUUGCCCAAGGUUUCCUGGGGAAGGUUCGUCCUCCCAGGGUAAGUCAGGACCUAAGGCCAGGCCGAGAGGCGUAACCGAUGGACAACAGGUUUAUAUUCCUGUACCACCUAUAUAACUGAUGGAGUGACGGAGAAAGCUAGGAGGAGCUCAUUAUUGGAUUUGAGUUUAAGCGCUUAGGUUAGUAUGCUGGAAAAUCCGUAAUACUGUGUAACUGAAACGUGAUGACGUCGAUGACUUCGGUCAUCUAAGUUCUCUGACGCUAUGCUUCCAAGAAAAGCUUCUAGGGUUAAUUAUAUAGGUGCCUGUACCGAGAACCGACACAGGUGGGCAAGGAGAGUAUCCUAAGGUGAGCGAGUGAACUAUGGUUAAGGAACUCGGCAAAAUGACCCCGUAACUUCGGGAUAAGGGGUGAUCAAGUGAUUGAUCCGCAGUGAAAUGGCCCAAGCGACUGUUUAUCAAAAACAUAGGUUUCUGCUAAUUCGUAAGAAGAUGUAUAGGAGCUGACACCUGCCCAGUGCUGGAAGGUUAAGAGGAGUGCUUAGCUUGACAUUAGUCGAUUUGCGAAGGUACGAAUUGAAGCCCCAGUGAACGGCGGCCGUAACUAUAACGGUCCUAAGGUAGCGAAAUUCCUUGUCGGGUAAGUUCCGACCCGCACGAAAGGUGUAACGAUUUGGGCACUGUCUCGACCAUAGGCUCGGUGAAGUUCUAAUACCUGUGAAAAUGCAGGUUACCCGCGACAGGACGGUCAGACCCCGUGGAGCUUUACUACAGCUUGAUAUUGGGACUUGGUCUAUUAUGUAGAGAAUAGGUGGGAGACUUUGAAGCUAGGACGCUAGUUCUAGUGGAGUCACCUUUGGAAUACCACCCUUAGUAGACUGAGUUUCUAACCUGGCACCAUGAAUCUGGUGUGGGGACAGUGUCUGGUGGGUAGUUUGACUGGGGCGGUCGCCUCCUAAA
RNAcentral lists this ribosomal RNA (1124 nucleotides) under human gut metagenome. RNAcentral describes it as "bacterial LSU rRNA". It matches the Rfam family "Bacterial large subunit ribosomal RNA", at positions 1167 to 2294 of the family's 2925-position model. The record is from RNAcentral.